GUUAAAAAGCUCGUAGUUGGAUUUCUGUCAGUGAGGUUCAGUCCGCCCCAGCGGUUGGUACGUGAUCCGCCACUGGCAUCUUCUUGGGGUAUGUGUCUGCUCUUAAUUGGGUGGUACAUAAACCAAGACUUUUACUUUGAAGAAAUGAGAGUGUUUCAAGCAGGCAUGCGCCGUGAAUACGUUAGCAUGGGAUAAUAGCAUCGGACCUCGUUCCAAAGCUGUUGGUUUCUUGGACCGAGGUAAAGGUGAAUAGGGAUUGUUGGGGGCAUUCGUAUUUGACUGUCAGAGGUGAAAUUCUUGGAUUUGUUGAAGACGGACUACUGCGAAAGCAUCUGCCAAAGAUGUUCUCAUUGAUCAAGGACGAAAGUUAGGUGAUCGAAGACGAUCAGAUACCGUCCUAGUCUUAACCAUAAACUAUGCCGACUGGAGAUCGGGGGUCGUUAAUUAUGUGACGCCCUCUGCAUCUUGAGAGAAAUCAAAGUCUUUGGGUUCCGGGGGGAGUAUGGUCGCAAGGCUGAAACUUAAAGGAAUUGACGGAAGGGCACCACCAGGAGUGGAGCCUGCGGCUUAGUUUGACUCAACACGGGAAAACUUACCAGGUCCAGACAUAGUAAGGAUUGACAGACUGAUAGCUCUUUCGAGAUUCUAUGGGGUGGUGGUG
This 661-nucleotide ribosomal RNA is filed under the name uncultured marine eukaryote. RNAcentral's name for it is "SSU rRNA". It matches the Rfam family "Eukaryotic small subunit ribosomal RNA", at positions 618 to 1282 of the family's 1831-position model. The record is from RNAcentral.